GUUAGGGCUACAAACAUCAACAUUUCAACAUUAAGCCUUUCCUUUAAAGUUAACCUCUUAACAUCCACCUCAUUUUGGGUAAUCCUGACAUAUUUUGCAUACCAAAUGCAAAAGGAAAUAACUUAGGAACUGCAAAAUUGGUACAGGACGGUGGACAUUGAGACACAGCAGCCAGGCAGCGACCAGCCGCUGCUGCUCCAUGUCUACAGCGUUCACAUACAGGAAGCGGCUGCCGGCCUGCCAUGGUUGGACUCUUAGUUGGAGCUCCUGCACAGCUGCAGGAGGCAAAACAAACACACCGGCUGGGUCCACCUACAAAAGAGAAGCCAGCAAGGAGGAAGAUCGCCAGAAAAAAAAAAAAAAACAUGUAUAAGGAGAUACGGAAAUGUUUAUUAAGG
This is a long non-coding RNA of Cyprinodon tularosa, 398 nucleotides long. RefSeq lists it as uncharacterized. The transcript is spliced from 3 exons. Lineage: Eukaryota; Metazoa; Chordata; Actinopteri; Cyprinodontiformes; Cyprinodontidae. The record is from RefSeq and is a predicted model, not a curated record.